This 61-nucleotide transfer RNA is filed under the name Mastigeulota kiangsinensis. RNAcentral describes it as "tRNA-Met". Lineage: Eukaryota; Metazoa; Mollusca; Gastropoda; Stylommatophora; Camaenidae. The record is from RNAcentral.
CCUUAAGUAAGCUAUAUAAGCUGUUGGGCUCAUAACCCAAAAAAGGUCAUUCCCUUAAGGA